Molecule: ribosomal RNA, 301 nt
Filed under: uncultured bacterium
Lineage: Bacteria
Description: partial 16S ribosomal RNA
Rfam family: Bacterial small subunit ribosomal RNA
Source: RNAcentral
CAGCAGCCGCGGGAAUACGAAGGGUGCAAGCGUUACUCGGAAUUACUGGGCGUAAAGCGUGCGUAGGUGGUGGUUUAAGUCCGUUGUGAAAGCCCUGGGCUCAACCUGGGAAUUGCAGUGGAUACUGGGUCACUAGAGUGUGGUAGAGGAUAGUGGAAUUUCCGGUGUAGCAGUGAAAUGCGUAGAGAUCGGAAGGAACAUCUGUGGCGAAGGCGACCAUCUGGGCCAACACUGACACUGAGGCACGAAAGCGUGGGGAGCAAACAGGAUUAGAUACCCCUGUAGUCCCUGUCUCUUAUAC